UACGAAGGGGGCUAGCGUUGCUCGGAAUCACUGGGCGUAAAGGGCGCGUAGGCGGCGUUUUAAGUCGGGGGUGAAAGCCUGUGGCUCAACCACAGAAUGGCCUUCGAUACUGGGACGCUUGAGUAUGGUAGAGGUUGGUGGAACUGCGAGUGUAGAGGUGAAAUUCGUAGAUAUUCGCAAGAACACCGGUGUCGAAGGCGGCCAACUGGACCAUUACUGACGCUGAGGCGCGAAAGCGUGGGGAGCAAACAGG
Molecule: ribosomal RNA, 253 nt
Filed under: uncultured bacterium
Lineage: Bacteria
Description: partial 16S ribosomal RNA
Rfam family: Bacterial small subunit ribosomal RNA
Source: RNAcentral